This 24-nucleotide non-coding RNA is filed under the name Arabidopsis thaliana (thale cress). The record is from RNAcentral. Lineage: Eukaryota; Viridiplantae; Streptophyta; Magnoliopsida; Brassicales; Brassicaceae.
AAGGUCCUGUUGUACCUGAUGCUG